This 206-nucleotide unclassified non-coding RNA is filed under the name Hevea brasiliensis (rubber tree). Lineage: Eukaryota; Viridiplantae; Streptophyta; Magnoliopsida; Malpighiales; Euphorbiaceae. The record is from RNAcentral.
AGGUUCCAAGAUGACAGGAACAGGAAACUUUGGAUGUGUUGUGAGCCCAUAUUGUUCUUCCACACUUACGCUUUCUGUAUUCACACCUUGAGGUAAUUUCCAGUUGAAUCCAUGUAACAUGUUGGCUAAAGUUGCUCGGAUAACCUUAAGUCCUAGACUAUAGCCAGGGCACCUCCUCCUCCCUGAGCCAAAUGGCAAGAAGGAAA